AAUAUGAUGAAGUAUUCAAACUCAGCUCUAUGAAAUCUGUGAUUACUCAAUUUGAUUUCUCACGACAGUCUUCUGACA
Molecule: small nucleolar RNA, 78 nt
Organism: Dictyostelium discoideum AX4
Lineage: Eukaryota; Evosea; Eumycetozoa; Dictyosteliales; Dictyosteliaceae
Rfam family: Dictyostelium snoRNA DdR16
Source: Rfam